AAGAGAGAUGAAGGUGGGUGAGGGGAAGGUGGUUGAGAGAGAGACACGCGCCCCCGGCUCGGCCAGAGGCCCUCCUCGGGGGUCUAGGACUAGCCUGGGACCCAGCCGCUGGGGUAGGGGACCAAGCCAGCUGUGCGGAGGGAAGCGCAACGGCCCAAAACACUUGGUAGAAUGCACCGGUGAAGCUAUCUGGUCCUGCGCUUUUCUUUGUGGUCAUAAGGCUCCGAUCCCUGCUGAGAGGACCCUGCUCCACACCCAGAAGGAAAGAAAGCAUGCUCACAGAGACCACAAAAAACCUAGACAGACACUGGGUUUCCCCACUCUUUUUUCUUUUUUUUUUUUUUUUUUUUGAAGUGGAGUUUCAUUCUUGUCUCCCAGGCUGG
RNAcentral lists this long non-coding RNA (383 nucleotides) under Homo sapiens (human). RNAcentral's name for it is "HSALNT0353403". The record is from RNAcentral. Lineage: Eukaryota; Metazoa; Chordata; Mammalia; Primates; Hominidae.